This 497-nucleotide ribosomal RNA is filed under the name uncultured bacterium. Its description in RNAcentral is "partial 16S ribosomal RNA". It matches the Rfam family "Bacterial small subunit ribosomal RNA", at positions 28 to 507 of the family's 1533-position model. The record is from RNAcentral.
GAUGAACGCUGGCGGCGUGCCUAAUACAUGCAAGUCGAGCGAACAGACGAGGAGCUUGCUCCUCUGACGUUAGCGGCGGACGGGUGAGUAACACGUGGAUAACCUACCUAUAAGACUGGGAUAACUUCGGGAAACCGGAGCUAAUACCGGAUAAUAUAUUGAACCGCAUGGUUCAAUAGUGAAAGACGGUUUUGCUGUCACUUAUAGAUGGAUCCGCGCCGCAUUAGCUAGUUGGUAAGGUAACGGCUUACCAAGGCGACGAGGCGUAGCCGACCUGAGAGGGUGAUCGGCCACACGGGAACUGAGACACGGUCCAGACUCCUACGGGAGGCAGCAGUAGGGAAUCUUCCGCAAUGGGCGAAAGCCUGACGGAGCAACGCCGCGUGAGUGAUGAAGGUCUUCGGAUCGUAAAACUCGGUUAUUAGGGAAGAACAAAUGUGUAAGUAACUAUGCACGUCUUGACGGUACCUAAUCAGAAAGCCACGGCUAACUACGUG